AAGUCAAAAUCAUAAAAAGAAUGAAAGGCUAUUAUAAAAAAAAAGGAGGAAAAUGCUUUGAUUUCACAGAUUUUUCUACUUAUUAAUGUUUAAGGUUCUCUCUUCUUUUUAAAAGUAUCUUCUCAUAUUGCUUUGUAUGUGUUAUGUACAGGUAAUAUCACUUUUUGAUGACUAUAUCACAUGGCACAUGGAUUACGUAGCUAAAUAUUAACGGAUGGAGGUUGAGGGGAUUAGUAUGGGAAAAGAUACUGCAGCAGCCCAUCAGGACUCACAUCAGUGGUUCAGACAAGAUUACAGCUGUGGCAUGAAAGUGAUGAAUCUGAUGAGCUGUUGCAGAAUAGCAGAGGACAACAUGAUGAAUCUGCUAAUGGUGGGACACUGGUAAGAGAGGUCAUCAGGAGGAGAAGUCCAGUGACAGAAGGACAGACACCACUGACCUCUUGGCAUAUUUGGAAGAUGUGGAAGAAACAAUUAAUGAAAUAGUAACAGCAUUCAUCAUUCCUUGCAGAACUGCAGCCUUUGUUGGGAGAUGCAAGUUGUAGAAACUUUGGUGAUGCUAUACUGUUUUGUAAAUCUGCUCACAAACUUUUAGGUUGUGCAUCACUAGUACGUCAAAAAUGGAGAGGUAACAUGUCUGUCAGUGUAAUGACAAGUUUAUUACAUUGGUAUAUUCCUUAACAAUAUGUGCAGUCUUCUGUCCAUUACAUUGUUGCUGUUAACACCAUCUGAUGACACCUUGUGGUUUUAGAGGGGUCACUUAACUGUCCCCAAGCCAAAGUGCCCAUUGCUAAGCCUUGCAUAUCCAUGUAUAGGAGAGAGAUUUUGGCUAUCUUCAUGCCUUGCACUUGAAGGGUUAUUUUGCUGUAAAUCAAGAUCAGCUCCAUUGAAGUCAAUGGAAUUUCACUUGUAUAAAUGAGACCACUACAAUGCUACAUGCUCAGGCCAUUACAUAUUCCUAGCUCAGCACCAGCGUCAUGAUCAAAGUUCAGUUUCUAUGACCUAGUUUCCCCUGAAGUCGACAGAAACAAGUUAGCUGGAGAAGAAUGAUUGUUUUAAGAGUGUGAUUGAUCCUAAGGGCAUCUUUAUACGUGGGCUGGGGAGAGGCUCUAGUUACAGCCCAAGAGCCGCUCUAAUUAAAGACCCACAGUAUCACAUGUAUUCAGCAUCCCACACUUCAAAAUGGUGACAGGAGCACUUUAACUAAAGCUCAUUUGAUGAGCUUUAGUUAAAGUGUCCCCACCGCCAUUUUGAAGCACAGAGACACUGAGUACAUGUGAUGCAGAGGCUGCUGGAGAGUGCUAAUUAGAUUUAUCGAGUCUGCUCUGACACAUGCUAAUUAGCAUGUGCUGAAGCAGACCUCCAGCAUGUGUAUAGGUUCCCUAAAGGUUCGAGUGGCACUGAGGUGUAAUUUCUGAGAAGUUCAGAAGCAGCUCCAAACUAGCUUAGGUGAUGGAAUAGCCUUCAGCUUUCCCCCAGCUCUAGGAAUAGCAAGGGUGACUUAGCCUCCUUUGUUCUCUCCAGCUGUCUCAGCUGUGCCAAGUGGAGCUCUGUAACUGCAAUGCAUGCUCCUCUAAAUGAACUUCUCCGCUUUCCUGUUCUUAAAUAGCAUGGGCCAAAUUCGCUGCUGGUGCAGCUCCAGUGAAAUAACUGAUGGAGUUAUGCCAGCAGAGGAUUUGUCCCCAUAGCUCCUCUGAUGAUUAAAUUUCUCCUCAGCACUCUUUUUUCCUAUUGAAAUGCCAUUUACAAAAUUCAACCAUUAUGUUUAAAGCUAUCUUACUUCAGGAAGGAGAAACACGCUAUAUACUUUCGUUAAGCAAACAUUAACUUUAAGGUAAAAUGAGGCUGAGAAGGGUGAUUAGCCAGUCACUCUGAACACUUCCAAAUAAGCUGAGAAAAUCAGCUUCUCAGAAUUCACAUUAAAAAAACAUAAUGAAGUUAAUAUUAAAUAAAAAGCUUGUGCAACCUUUUACUUUUUACAGUAUAUGCUGAUGUGUCCUUGAUUCCAGUCCUGUUUUGUUUAUGAUUAAUGAAUGACUCACCUUGAAGACCGCUCAAUUUGAUUCCUACCUCAUUACGAAUUUGAAGAGGUCAUUUUGUUUUGGGGGUCUAAGAGAAAAGCCUCUUUGUAUUUUGCAAAUGCUAAUAGUUAAUAGUAUCAAAUAAUAGUUAAUAGUAUCUAAUAAUAGUCAGAUACAGUGCAUAUAUAAUGAUGACAUGGAGAAGUUUCUGUUCAAUUCAAUUCUCAUCAAAUUAUUCAAUUCAAUUCCUCAAGUUAUUCAGGAAAUUUCCAGGCAUACAAUUAAGUGCAGACUCAGUAUAACAAAGAUUGUUAUUUCUCUCAUCCUUUAAUUAAAAGGCUGCAUCUAUAUACUUUUACUCCAUAUAUAAAGACUUGGCAUGCUCCUGUACAAACUUUGAAUGUAUAUUAACAUUUUUACUAUUUUACCUAUUUCUGAAUACAAAAACCUAGAAUUGGGAUUUGCAAAGCAGAUUAUUUUUGCAGGAAGCAAAUGUUAGAUGAUUCAUAUUUUGAAAUUUUCAGCAUGAAAAGGCCAUUUCAGUGGAAUUAUGUAAAUCAAACUAAAUCAGAAUUAAUGGUGAAUGUUUUGAAAUUAGGUAAAAUAAAAUAGUGAAAAUAAUUGUGCAAAAUAGGAAGUGUCCAGGAAAAAAAAUUCUUUAGCCAUAUAAUGUGUAAGUUGUUCACAUUGAAGACAAUAGCGCUUGCACUCCUGUCCAUCAAAAUCAGGUUUUCUUUGGGAAUAAGCCAUGGCAAAAGAAAGAGAAAUUGGCUGCAACAAUUAUUUUUAGAUUUUCCCUGAAGCCUAUGCUUUAGUGCUGUGGUAAGCCAUGUGUGUUCUAAUGAACCUGAGGGCAGUGCUGGCAUCGGUUCUGACCAUUGGUCGAGUUGUUCAGCUGGACAGGUCAAAGGUUAGGAACCAGAUGAAGUGUGCCACUGUCACUCCAAGUUGGUAGUUAGAUGAUAGGUCAGAAACCUCUUCAUAAAAUAGUUAAAUUAUAGAAACACAACUAAGCAAGCAUUUUGGCAAAGAGCAUGAUGGACAGAGGCUUGUUUUUUGCCCCAGUGUUUGUCUAAGCUGGAAAGAUUCAGAUGACUCAUGGAGCAAAAUACCCCCUGUGCAGAGGAUCCCAUGUGAUCUGUGUAUGACAUAAAUAUUUCUAGACUUUGUACUGCAUUGUGCACAGUGGUGAAUUUCACUCCCUCUGAAUACCUACUACAGUAAGAUGAAUUAAUGGUCCAUGACCUAGAGAAAAACAUAGCAUCAGAUUCAGACCAUGUGUAAAUGGACUUGCAAUCCAUGUGUGCAAGUUCUGAAUUUGCCCUUUUAGGACUAGGUGAUAUAAAAAGUAAGAAAUCUUUCCUGUCAAAGCAAGUCCAUCUCUUAUUGGGUUUUUUCCAUUUACAUUUAACAAACCAUUUGACUUCUAUAUGCAAUGCUUUAUAAGCACAGGGCAAUAAAUAUAAUAAAAAUAGAAUUCCCAUAGUUGUUUUGGUGAUCAUGUGCCUGUAAUACAUAAAAGUUUUUAGGUCAGUUUCCUUUUCUACAGAAUGUGGUUUUGGUUCUUGCAUAUAUAAUUUGAAAUUUUGUUAUCUGGUUUUAUGUGACUGAGCCAAUGGGAACCGUAUAAAAAAUUAUAAUCUACAUUUACCUGUUCAGCAAAUAGAUGUGCUUUCAUUACUUCAAAGCUAAGAAGCACAUGUAUUCCAGUUGUGUUUUUUUUUUUAAUAUUUCAUCAUUCUUUGUGGCAUGUAUGAUUCAGGCUGAUUCACCUCGUUAUUUGUGUUGCAAAGGUCACUAGCUUAUUAUGUAUGGUUUGUGUCAUCAUUUUUGAAAAAUAAUGUAGCUCUGAGAAUGGUUAGUAAAUGCAGGCUGAUCUUUGGUCUCUGGUUUGCUUAAUAUUGUGGUUUUGUUUUCCAAAAUUUGUUCAGAACUAUUUGUACCUUGGAUUAUUAAUCUACAACUAAACAUUGUCCUUGGUGUUCAUCUAGCUGACGAUGCUUGGAACUAGACCAAGUCUAUUAUCUUUUCUUUGAAAUUGUGGAGAGCAUUUAUUCCAAUGCUGAAUUAAAGUUUCUUGUUCAUUUGCAAUUCUACUGGAAAUGUUUCAACUGCAGGGAGCAUUACUUGGCCAUUUAGGAUUGGUGAUCAUGCUACCAGUGCACACAAAGGUUUGAAUG
Molecule: long non-coding RNA, 4198 nt
Organism: Alligator mississippiensis (American alligator)
Lineage: Eukaryota; Metazoa; Chordata; Crocodylia; Alligatoridae
Exons: 3
Source: RefSeq, a predicted model, not a curated record